UAGGGAAUAUUGCACAAUGGGGGAAACCCUGAUGCAGCGACGCCGCGUGAAGGAAGAAGUAUCUCGGUAUGUAAACUUUCUAUCAGCAGGGGAAGACAAUGACGGUACCUGACUAAGAAGCCCCGGCUAACUACGUGCCAGCAGCCGCGGGUAAUACGUAGGGGCAAGCGUUAUCCGGAUUUACUGGGUGUAAAGGGAGCGUAGACGGAUCUGCAAGUCUGGAGUGAAAGCCCGGGGCUCAACCCCGGGACGUGCUUUGGAAACUGUGGAUCUAGAGUGCCGGAGAGGUAAGCGGAAUUCCUAGGUGUAGCGGUGAAAUGCGUAGAUAUUAGGAGGAACACCAGUGGCGAA
This 351-nucleotide ribosomal RNA is filed under the name uncultured Lachnospiraceae bacterium. RNAcentral's name for it is "bacterial SSU rRNA". It matches the Rfam family "Bacterial small subunit ribosomal RNA", at positions 355 to 719 of the family's 1533-position model. Lineage: Bacteria; Bacillati; Bacillota; Clostridia; Lachnospirales; Lachnospiraceae. The record is from RNAcentral.